GUCCUUCCUGCUCUGUGGGUUCUGAUUGGUCUAAACUGAUCAAGCACUCUUGCUCGGGGAUGGGUUCACUAACUAAGGUCUACGCCAAUCAGCACAUGGCCUUCUGCAGAAAGUAAAGUCCGCGGUUAUCCAAUCAAUGCAAAGCUUAAGUCUUUCACUCUGUCCUCUAACCAGGAAGAAGAAAGCGUGCUGACUCCAAGGGAGGCUGGUACCCGUUGAGACUGGAAAAGCCAGCCUCAGGUUGAAACCAAAGCACACAAAAGAGCAGAGUCUCCAGAAAUGCAGAGACCAGACAUGGGAUCCUGACCAAACUUCUUGGACUUUUUAGUUGCGGGAGCAAAGGAGAGUUGAUUUUUUGAUUGUUACUUCUAAAAAGCAUACCGAUGCAUCCAUACUUCCCCAUGGUACCUGAAAUUCCUACCAUUAGCCCUCCGUUCCAGAUUGCUAUGUCGGACAUGCCUUCAACCAAGUUACAGACAGAAGAAAGGAUUUAAGAUUAGACGGCUUAAUCAAAGAAUGCUUCUGCAAGAAAGUUCUAGGCACAACUAACCAAACCAACCUAACAAAUUUCUGAUUUCCACUGGCAUCCUGUCUCUUUCUGCCCUCCAUAUUUUGUUUUGGUUUUUGUUAUUGUUGUUUCCUUUACGGAAAAAGACCACCUUCCAUCUCUGUAUGUUCAAAUCCCACCAGUUUCAAGCCCCAGCUCAAGUGCUGACUUGUCCUUGAAACCUCUCCCAUAGCCUCAGCUGGAAAAAACAGCCCCCUCCCAAAUAAUGGACUGCUCACCUCAGUGUGUCCUCUCCACACUCAGUAUUCCCAGCACACAUGCUCUGCUGCAGGCUGUUUGCCUGCAAGACACCUGACGGGUUUAUCUUUUGUGUUCUCCACAGCUGUUACAUGUUGUGGCUGGGCCUUCUGCAUCUCUGAGAAGUAGGCAACUUUAGUGUUGAAAAGAACAAGCGCCAAUAGGUUUUCUUCAGGAAUUACAGGCCAAAGGAAUGGCUAAAGUGGUUCUCCGAGUGCUGGUCCCUGGACCACACCGUCAGCAUCACCUGGGAACUAGUCAGAAACGCAAAUGCUCGGGACCUUCAGAACGAGAAGCUCUGGGUGUGGGACCCAGGAAAACGUGUUUUAACAAGCUCUCUAGAUUCUGCUGCACUUUGAAGUUUGAAAACCACUGGACUAGAGGAAGGUCUUAAACUACUGACCGAGGAGCGAAUGAACCUGGUUUUCUAAGAGCAGGAAUGAAGGCCAAGUGACGAUCGAGGUGAGAACACUGGAGUUCAGACAGGCUGGAAACUGUGCUAAAGUCAGGAUCUGGUUCCAAAUCUGCCUCCAGAGCCUGGGCUUUAUUCCUCAGCUGUACCCUGCUUCCCCAACCUCCAUCUGGAUUAGGAUACUCGACUACGUCCUCUUUCCAUAGGCUGAUAUCCACAGGAUUUGUCAAUUUGUCCAUUCAGAAGGCAGCUCACAACAUCCGGGGUUUCAGUUAAGAAGGAUUACGGCAAAGAAGCUCGUUCGAUCUACCCUAACCUGGCAUGCUGUUAUAAAACGUUUCUGACCGUUCCUGGUUAACUAAUCUUCAAAAAAUGAAGGCUACCUAAGGAAAAGGUUGUGGAAGGGAAAUAAUUAGAGCAGAAGCAGCUCAAAAUGCUGCUCUUGCUUUUAUCUAUUUUUAAAUGAUUGCCAGAUGUCUGCAACUGACACCCUUAAUCAGUGAUUUCAAAGUUUGGAUGUGGUCGUCAAAAUGUAAUAUGACAGUGCUGCUAUUUUAUCGAUCUUUCUGGGGUUGACUUUUUGCCUUAAAUUUUUAAAAAAAUCUAUUUAACA
Long non-coding RNA from Physeter macrocephalus (sperm whale), 1830 nucleotides. RefSeq lists it as uncharacterized. The transcript is spliced from 3 exons. NCBI's taxonomy places the organism in Eukaryota, Metazoa, Chordata, Mammalia, Artiodactyla, Physeteridae. The record is from RefSeq and is a predicted model, not a curated record.